CCUACGGGUGGCAGCAGUAGGGAAUAUUGCUCAAUGGGGGAAACCCUGAAGCAGCAACGCCGCGUGGAGGAUGAAGGUUUUACGGUUUGUAAAUCCCUUUUUUAGAGGAGUUUAUGACGGUAUCUGUCGCAUAAGCACCGGCUAACUCCGUGCAAGCAGCCGCGGUACUGCGGAGGGUGCCAGCGUUACUCGGAAUCACUGGGCGUAAAGAGGGCGUAGGCGGGGUAAUAAGUCAGAUGUGAAAUUCUGUAGCUUAACCACAGAACUGCAUUUGAAACUGUUAGUCUGGAGUUUGGGAGAGGUAGGCGGAAUUCGUGGUGUAGGGGUGAAAUGCGUAGAGAUCAAGAGGAACACUCAUUGCGAAGGCGACCUGCUGGAACAUUACUGACGCUGAUGCACGAAAGCGUGGGGAGCAAACAGGAUUAGAUACCCGUGUAGUC
This 440-nucleotide ribosomal RNA is filed under the name uncultured bacterium. RNAcentral describes it as "partial 16S ribosomal RNA". It matches the Rfam family "Bacterial small subunit ribosomal RNA", at positions 338 to 795 of the family's 1533-position model. The record is from RNAcentral.